Molecule: small RNA, 255 nt
Filed under: Caenorhabditis elegans
Lineage: Eukaryota; Metazoa; Nematoda; Chromadorea; Rhabditida; Rhabditidae
Description: Unclassified non-coding RNA B0412.9
Source: RNAcentral
GAUGCUCCACAAAAUGUGCCAUACCCAUCCCCAGAUCCAUUGGCAAACUCUUCCAGUACUGUAUUUUUCGGCCAACGUCCAUGGAGAAUAAAUCAUGAAGGAUUGGCAACUGCAGAAGUUGAAGCUGCUGCAGUUACAGCAAUUAUUCAAAGGCUUGUAGUCAAUCAUGAAGGUGUAAUUUCAUUGUUAUCAGCUGCAUUGGCUCAAUAUCAGAAAUAUGGAUGUUUGAGAAUGAAGAAGAAGGUUAUGAUGGAG